This 383-nucleotide ribosomal RNA is filed under the name uncultured diatom. RNAcentral describes it as "partial small subunit ribosomal RNA". It matches the Rfam family "Eukaryotic small subunit ribosomal RNA", at positions 30 to 432 of the family's 1831-position model. The record is from RNAcentral. Lineage: Eukaryota; Bacillariophyta.
GCUUGUCUCAAAGAUUAAGCCAUGCAUGUCUAAGUAUAAAUCUUUUACUUUGAAACUGCGAACGGCUCAUUAUAUCAGUUAUAGUUUAUUUGAUAGUCCCUUACUACUUGGAUAACCGUAGUAAUUCUAGAGCUAAUACAUGCGUCAAUACCCUUCUGGGGUAGUAUUUAUUAGAUUGAAACCAACCGCUUCGGCGUGAUGUGGUGAUUCAUAAUAACUUUCGGAUCGAUCUUCGGAUCGAUGCAUCAUUCAAGUUUCUGCCCUAUCAGCUUUGGAUGGUAGGGUAUUGGCCUACCAUGGCUUUAACGGGUAACGGAGAAUUAGGGUUCGAUUCCGGAGAGGGAGCCUGAGAAAUGGCUACCACAUCCAAGGAAGGCAGCAGG